CCAAACAUUCUAUGUUCUGCUAUAACCCAGAUGCAGUAUCACCUUAUCGUGCCCUUAAUUCUUGUCUAUUUCCGAUAGAAAUUAGAUACUCUAGUAGCCUGAUGCAUCAUCCAUUUAUAAUAACACUACAAACUGCACUGUAUGUGUUUAGUUAUGAAGCAUGAAACCUGACAAGAAAAAUACAAAGAUUGCCCAAAAGAAAAAUAAUAGUAUUUAGUUCAAACUGAGGACCAUUUUCCCCAUUCUGAACCUAUGUCUUCCUGACCCAAGCAUCAAACGAAACAUAGCAGUGUCAUCUCAUGGAAAAAAGUUGACAAGAAUAACACCCGGUGUUUCCACAUUUCUGAUUCCUUGAGAAAAGAGAACUUGAUCGAUCUCUCCAAUUUGCCGUUGCAUUUAUUCCGUGCACUCUAGUAGAGUAGAAACUUGUUCAUCUUGUCGACGAAAUUGAAUUUCCAUUGCCAGUUAUGUUGGCGGUUCAGCUGCUUCUUCAAGUUGUUUCUGCAAAAAAUAGAGCAAAUGAGGCUCCUAAUUUAUUUCUACAAUUAAGUGAGUGCAGUCUAUACUUGUCAUCAAUUGAUAUGCAGUCCCGUGAAUGGCUGUACUAAAGAAAAAAACAUGAUGUCCUUAUGUGACUAACAGAUAGUGUCACUGCUUGUGCGUAGGAACUCCAAUAUAUACACACAUCAUGCAGCAUUACGAAAUAUCAUAUGAUGAAUUGAAACCAUGCGUAAUUGAACUAGCCUCAUACAUGGAAGACCACAAUAAAGAAAUACACUGUAGUUGAACUAUGGUAGAGUAGAGCAGCGAGAAACUGAGGGUCAAGAGGGGCAGAGCCACAACCUUGUGUGGGGAGUCGUGGUCAGGGCCGUUGGCUUGGGCUUGGGGUCCCGGUCGUCCUCCUCGCCCAUGGAGUCGAGUGCCUGCUGCACCAAAUCAAGCAGGAAAAUAAAUAUCAUAUUAUUCCAAGGUCAGACAUCCAAUCAAGUGGCAAAAGAAAUAAAGAAAGAAGAUAACAUGAAGAUUCUAAGCAAAAGAACAACUUAUUUAUAAAAUCCUCCAUUAAUUUAAUCUAGUUUAGUUUCAACCAAGCAGCAACUAGAUCAUGGUUUAGUAUUUAUUUAUCCUGGACCAAACUGGUAGAUUUGAUGAACAAUGGCUGAAUAAGAAAACUACUACUACAAGUCCAGUCCCUAGAACCAACAAAUAUUAAGCAUCGAUGGCAUGGUCUGCAAGGGUCAAAGUAAAGAGCAAUUUCUACUGUACCAGAUUAGACUGUUUACUCAAUAAAUAAACCUGAAUUUUAAUCUAUAAGCAAGCAACAUCGAUAUCGUGCAAUAAAAACCUCAAGAGGAGCAACCCGCCGAAAAGAUGCAUUCAGUUUGAUAUAUCAAUGUAAACAGGACAAACAACGCUUAAACAAUGAAAACAAAAGCAAGAAAGAACAAUUGAUGUUGCUGUGGCUUCCAUGUGACUCCAUUUUCGGUUGCGACAGCGACUAGAACAUCUUAGCCAAAGAGGGAUCACAAGUCCAGAACAAAAUAAGAUAACUGCAUUUACACACAAUUCCUAGUUCCUUACCAAACAACAACAAGAAGAUAGUCAGGCCACUUGCAUCGGACCAUAAACUGGCCAGAAUUAAUGCGAUGAUACAGAAAAUGCAGAGGGAGGGGAGUUGUUGUUUAUUACCACCAUUGAUUGUUGUUGCUGUUGUAGUUGAUCAAAAGGGCGACUUGGUUGCUUCCUACUCUCGAUACUGAUCCAGUUCCAACCGACCUCCUGCCUGGAGUUGGACUAGAGGAAUUCCAACUCUACCUACAAACCAGGCAUAUUAAUUGGCAAUAUAUAUUCGAAAAAACAUGUAUCUAUCUAAUUCGCAGCAAGGAAAUCAAUCAACUAAAAGAGAGUCAUGUCCUGAAUAUUAAUUGGUAACCAAGAUCCAACCAGCAAAAUGGUGGCAUGCCAGGAUGCCAAAAACUGUUAGUUCAACAAGGAGAAUAUAUCAAGGGAAAAUCUAAAAAGAAAAAACAAGGCUUGCCGCUGGCCUAUCCACAAAGUACCUGGGAUAGAUAUAUGCUAGCAGCUAGCAUUCUUGCUGGAAUAAUAUUCACAUGUAUGUGCUUGCAAACUAAACCAUACAUUUUCUGCUAGCUGCCAUGAUUAGGGCUCGGGAUUUGAUACUAUUUGCAUCAUCAGGGUGCUGCUAUACAUAUAUAAAUAUAGAAACCAAAUACUCAAUGUUCUUCCAUAACCCAGAUUUACUAUCACCAUAUUGUGCCCUUACUUAUUAUCAUUUUUGAUAGAAACUAGGUAUUAUGACAGUCUAAUGCAUCCAAUGUUUAUAAUGACAUUACAAAUUGUACCAUUAAGCAGCUUAGGAGGACUAUCCUCUGUUCCCGUAACAGAACCGAUGUAAAUUCUUGACUUGCCUCCACCACCUACAUAUGAAGAUUGACUAAUUGUUAGUACAUUACUGACAAAUGCUUCUCUUGGAUAGACGCAUCACUACAUGUGUACAUAAUUAGGACAUACAUAUCACAUUUGUUACUUCAUAGACCCAGACAUAAUCAGAUUUAGCUACAAGGCUUUGAAAGUUGGCAUCCGUGCAAUAAGAAAAAAAUAAAUGAAAAAUAAAAUAUGCCACUCACAAAGGGAAACAUAAUUACAAUUCUAACAGAAGAAUGACACACAUCCCUCUCCUUUGUAAUGCCUCGACCAGGAAAUUGUUACAUGCUACAAAUUUGUGGAUGAUGCACGCACAAGAAUAACCAUAGUUUUAUUUACCUACUGGAAGAGGCCAACCGAUUCAUGGCUGGAUCUGUUUAGUUACCUGCACAUACUAGAAAACCACUGACACAGCUUACCUAUAGCGACCAGAUCUGGAGGUGGGGCAAGGAAGGGGCGACGAGAAACCACUCACAUACCAGAAGCUUACCUCUUGAAUUUUGUAGGCGGGGCGGAGGGAAGGAAAUCAGCCAAAACAGAGGUCGCACGUGGAGACAAAUCAGCAGUGGAUCCUCGGCGGCGGUUGACGGCGCUGCUGCUCCUCGGCGUGGCGGACGGAGCUGCUGCUCCUGGGCGGAUGCUGCCCUGCGGGGAGGGAGGCCAGGGUCGGAGAUGAUGUGGCACGAGGAGACCAGAGGAAGGGCGGCGGCACGCAGAUCAGGGGCGACGGUGCAGUUGAGUUAGGUUUAGGUCGGGGGCGGCGGCGCAAUCGGGUAGAGACAGAGGGAGGGGGAUUGGGGAGUGGACGGGUGUGUUUUUUCUUUUCUUUUGCUGGUCU
Molecule: long non-coding RNA, 3283 nt
Filed under: Triticum aestivum (bread wheat)
Lineage: Eukaryota; Viridiplantae; Streptophyta; Magnoliopsida; Poales; Poaceae
Description: long non-coding RNA (TAES_LNC017028)
Source: RNAcentral